Dama dama (fallow deer) is the source of this 9596-nucleotide RNA transcript. It is a transcript of the gene named death inducer-obliterator 1, with no coding region annotated. The transcript has 17 exons. Lineage: Eukaryota; Metazoa; Chordata; Mammalia; Artiodactyla; Cervidae. The record is from RefSeq and is a predicted model, not a curated record.
ACCCCCCGGCGUCUCGGUGGCCGGCGUCUUCCCUCCACUGGGAGCGCGGGCGGCCCCUCUACCUCACGCGUCUCGGUGGCUGGCGCCAACCCCGCCCGCCCACUCUGCGGCGCUCUGAGGAAAUGGCUGCGAAACCCUGGAGACUUGCGGCCCACGGAGCUUACUCCGUGGACACAGUCUCAAGAUAAUUUGCCUUGUGAUCUGUGAACAGUGGCUGACGACAACAGCAUUGGGGGCCUGGCGCUUUCCUUGUGCCACGAGGUUGUAACGGCCCUGUUUGUGCUGGGUUUAGGAAGUUGGGAGAAGUGCACAUGCUUCUGUGUGGGGCAGGUUUUCAUUCUGUACGAGUCCUUCCCCUGGGAUGGAACGUGGCAUAAAAUCUGAGUUGUCAUUAGCAUUUAAAUGUAACUGAAGCCUGUACAGCUUGGGGAAAAAAUUCUUAAGGUAUGGACGAGAAGGGUGACCCAAGUGGUGAGGAGGCGCCCAAAGCCAUCAAGCCUACCAGCAAGGAGUUCCGGAAGACAUGGGGCUUCCGGAGGACCACCAUCGCCAAGCGUGAGGGUGCCGGGGAUGCGGAGGCGGACACCCUGGAGCCGUCGCCCCGGCAGCAGCAGAGCCCGUCUCUGCGGCGCAGUGGGCGGCAGCCAAAGCGCACCGAGCGGGUGGAGGAGUUUCUGACCACCGUGCGGCGCCGCGGCCGUCGGAGCGCCCCCGCGUCCCUGGAGGACUCCGGGGAGCCAGCGUCCUGUCCGGCGACAGAUGCGGAGACCGCCUCUGAGGGCAGUGUGGAGAGCGCCUCAGACGGAAAGAGCGGGCCCAGGUCCAGCUCCACAGGUGCUAAGCAGCGGCAGGCCUCCUCGGCAAAGGCCAGAGAGGGCGAGGACGAGGACGACACGUCCGACAGCGACAGUGACGGACUGACCUUGAAGGAACUCCAGAACCGCCUGCGGAAGAAGCGUGAGCAGGAGCCUACGGACCGGCCCACGAGGGGCAUCCAGAACCGCCUGCGGAGGAAGCGGCGGGAGGAGGACCCGGCUGAGACCGUGGACGUCCAGGCGGGUGAUGCAAUGGAGGGCUCGCUGCCCGCCUCACGGGAGCCUGAGGGCGACCUGGGGGCUGCAGCCCAGGCAGCGAAAGAGGACAGAGAGGGCCGACCAGAUGGGAGAGUGGCCCCGGGAGGGAGAGCUGAGGAAGCUGCAGACUCGGUCCGGCACAAGCCGGAGUGUGAGGUGUACGACCCCAGUGCCCUGUACUGCCUGUGCCGCCAGCCUCACAACAACAGGUUUAUGAUUUGCUGUGAUCGAUGUGAAGAAUGGUUUCAUGGUGACUGUGUGGGCAUUUCUGAGGCUCGAGGGCGGCUCUUGGAGAGGAAUGGGGAAGACUACAUCUGCCCCAAUUGCACGAUCCUGCAGGUGCAGGACGAGGCCAGCUCAGAAGCCACAGACAUGCAGGACACGAGGUCAGGACCCCUGGGUGCCGACAGCACAGACUUCACCAGUAUAGGAACCGUGGAGCAGAAGUCAAGUGAAGACCAGGGAAUUAAGGGUAGAAUUGAAAAAGCUACAAACCCAAGUGGCAAGAAGAAACUCAAGAUAUUCCAGCCCGUCGUGGAGGCGCCUGGUGCUGCCAAGUGCAUCGGCCCUGGGUGCUCAAGCGUGGCGCAGCCCGACUCGGUCUACUGCAGCAACGACUGCAUCCUGAAGCAUGCCGCAGCCACCAUGCGCUUCCUGAGUGCAGGGAAGGAGCAGAAACCCAAAGCAAAAGAAAAGCUCAAGACAAAGCCAGAAAAAAUCGUUCUUCAAAAAUGUAGCGUUCAAGCAGGCAUUAAAAUCUCUUCUGUGCACAAGAGACUGGCUUCAGACAAGAAGGAAAACGCAGUGAAGAAGGCAGCAGUGGCCCCUCCCAGGAACGAGGUCCUCACUAAGGAGCCAGCCUGUGAGAGCAGCACGCCAUCCUGGGCCAGCGACCACAAUUACAAUGCAGUAAAGCCAGAACAGACUGCUGCCCCCUGGCCGCCACUGUUGUAUAAAUCUGCGAAGGAGGACAGACGCAUGGAGGACAAGACGGCUGUGGUGGUGGCGAAGAAGUUGGCUCCUCCAGGGUCCUCGGGGGCCGGCAGACAACCCCCAGGCAGAAAUCUCCUUCCAAAGAAGUCCCCUUCUUUUGCAAACACAGCAGUGGCCAAGCCCACUGUCAGAAAGUCGCCCUCCGGCUUCAAGGGCACCAUCCCCAAGAGGCCGUGGCUCUCGGCCACCACUGCCCCCUCAGGCAGUGCUCCCCCUGCCAAGCAGGCAGGGCUGGUGGCUGCUGCUGCCUCAUCUGCUUCCAGAAAGUUCCCCAGCUCUGCUGCUUCUGUGGGAGCUGUCAGGAAGCCUGGGAGUACCUCAGUUCCCCUGGCCUCUUCAGCCCCAGGACGCUUGGGCCCUGUGAGCCCCGCUUCAUCACAGCCAAAUUCACAGAUUCGGCAGAAUAUAAGACGCUCCUUGAAGGAGAUCUUGUGGAAAAGAGUCAAUGACAGUGAUGACUUAAUCAUGACAGAAAAUGAAGUAGGGAAAAUCGCACUGCUCAUCGAGAAGGAGAUGUUUAACUUGUUCCGAGUCACGGACAAUCGGUACAAGAGCAAGUAUCGCAGCCUCAUGUUCAACCUCAAGGACCCCAAAAACCAGGGACUUUUCCAUCGAGUUCUGCGUGAAGAAAUCUCAUUGGCAAAACUGGUGAGAAUGAAGCCAGAAGAACUGGUCUCCAAAGAGCUCUCCGUGUGGAGAGAGCGAACGACAAAGCCCGUGAUGGAGUCCAGAACGAAAUUGCACAAUGAGACUAAGAAGCCUGCCAUUAAACAGGAAGCCGUUCCCGACAUGGAAGACUCUCCACCAGUGUCAGACUCUGAUGAGCAGCAAGAGUCGGUGCGGGCAGCCCCCGAGCGGAGUGCAGCGCCGCUGCCAGGUGUCUUCAGCAGCAUGCUGCAGGACACGACCAGCCAGCACCGGGCGCACCUCUUUGACCUAAACUGCAAGAUCUGCACGGGUCAGGUUCCAUCCUCGGAAGAUGAGCCAGCUCCGAAAAAACAGAAGUUGUCAACUUCUGUCAAGAAGGAAGAGUCCAAGUCCAAGCGCGACAGCCCCCCACCUGAGCCGGUUCUCAGCGAGGCAGAUGAUGUGGCGCCUGAAACCCCGCCUGAAAAUGCCUCAGAGCCAGACCUGGAAAGUGCAGCUCGAACCCACUUAGAGGGGAAGUACCUCCCAGCGCCUCUGGAGGAUAGCCAGCCUGAGCCCCCCGCCCUGGAAGGUCCACCCUGCCCCGCCCCUGGUGGUGGCAGCGUGCUCACCACGGUCACGAUGUCCGGUCGGGACCCCAGGACUGCAUUGGGCGGGCCGAGCACGGCCACAACUCCUGCAACAACCCACCCGGAGGGCACCACCCCAGCAGAGCCCCGACAAGACAUACCAAAGCCAGUGCCACCCUCCGUGACGGUGCCCAAGUCCAUCCUGGCCAAACCAUCCAUGUCCCCUGAGCCUAGAUAUCUCCUGUCCGUGCCACCGUCCCCAAGCAUCAGCAUCUCAGAGUCCCGGUCCCCUCCUGAAGGAGACACAACUCUCUUCUUGUCUCGACUCAGCACGAUUUGGAAAGGAUUUAUUAACAUGCAAAGCGUAGCCAAGUUUGUCACUAAGGCGUAUCCUGUCUCUGGAUGUUUUGAUUAUCUCAGUGAGGACCUGCCCGACACGAUUCACAUUGGCGGGAGGAUUGCUCCAAAGACCGUGUGGGAUUACAUCGGCAAGCUCAAAUCCUCAGUGUCCAAGGAGCUCUGUCUGAUCCGCUUCCACCCCGCGACUGAGGAGGAGGAGGUAGCCUAUAUCUCACUCUACUCCUACUUCAGCAGCCGCGACCGCUUUGGCGUCGUGGCCAACAACAGCCGGCACGUCAAGGACCUCUACCUGAUCCCACUCAGCGCCACUGACCCCAUCCCCUCCAAACUGCUGCCCUUUGAGGGGCCAGGUAAGCACCAGCCUUCAGACCCCAAGCAUCCCCUCCCGCCGAUGCCAAGCCUCCCCUAGACCUGCCUCGGCAGUGGAACUUGGAGCAGGGCUGAAGCAGAUUGGGCUGCAGAACUUCCAGGGUAGAGGAGGGGCACUGUGGAGGUACCUUGUCAAGGCGUAAAUUGUCUUAAAGAGUUCUGUGCAGAGGGCCAAGCCUGCAGUGUCCACCUAGAGCCUGCCUGGCGCCAGGUAAGCAGGUGUUGACGCGCAGGAGCUGGGGCAGUGCAGGGCGGGCUGAGGUCUGACGUUUCGGUCCUGCCUCCCUCUGGACGUCGGCCGGGCUCUUCCUCCUCGUCUUGGGGAUUCAUUUCGAGGAGAUGCAGGAAAUGGCAGUGAGAUAGGAAAUGGCUCUAGAAAUAGGCACUUUGAAACCUGCUGCUCGAGUUUUACCUUCAGCGGGCCUCUUUCUGCUUGCUUCUUCCUUACAAAAUGCUGUGUCAAAGCGUGACUACACACUGAUCUCUAGUGGAGGGGCCACGGUGGUUCCAAGGGGGACGUGGUCUCUGAGGGCCCUCUAAACCCUGAGAGGUUGAUGUGACUAAAGUUUCACAGAAAGAUGCCAAUGUGGGAGCGUCUCCUUGGCCAUGAUGCCCCCACGACUGAUGGCUCCUCAGAGAUGCCGAGUCCACCACGUGUUCGGGGCUCUUGAAGUACUUUACUUCAGGGGUGGUGGCUGCACCUGGCAUCUUUAGGGGCCCCCUGCACCUGGCAUCUCCGUGUCCAUGGCCAUGCUCCUGCCACAGCCACAUGCACACAUGUGCCCACCUGUGCUGGCUGGGUCCCCGCAGGGGGCUUGCCCCUGGUGGGCUCUGCAGCCGUGCCGCCAAAGUCCUGUCAGUCCCCAUAACCACAGGUUUGUGCUCCUAGCACCACACACAGACUGUCUCAAUGCCAAACACGUGUCAGAAGCCAAGUGCUUUGGGGGGCUGUCCCCCUUCCUCGUGCCAAAGUGGUGCUGCCUGACGGAUGGCUGGGAGGGCUGUGGCCAAAGUUCUUGGCAGGCAGCUCCUGAGGCUCUGGCCAGUCCCCGGACACCGUGUUCCUGAUGCUGCAGUGAUGGUCGUGAAGCCAGCUACCUGACACCGUGAGGAGCCUCUGGUCAGUCCUGAGGGCGGCAGCCUUCGUGGGGCCUAGCUCAAGCAUAGACGGGGAUAGGCACGCACAGAGUGCUUGUCUAGUGGGGCAGGGAGACCGUUCCAGCCUCCUCGGAGCCCCUCUUGUAGUUCAACCUGCAGACUUCGUGGCUCCGUCCCAGGGCAUCUUGUCACGUGAGCUGGGGACUAGCCAGGCUUGGGGCCACGGGACAGUCCCCGGGAGAGCAGGGGCGGAUGAGUCAGGAGUGGGGAUGGAGGAGGGAGGCAGUGGUAGGGGGCCACCAAGGAGACUUCCCCAGUGAAGCCCAGACAGGAGCUGACACACGGUGCCGUGCUGGGUGGGGGCCGCAGUGGGCACUCCGGGUGACACGGCCACAGGGAGGGCUGGGUGGGAGUGCUUUCCUCAACCACCAGGUGACCACACUGGGUGACUUAACAGGGUGGACUCACUCCUACCCCCACACUCCCGAGGCUGACUGCUGAGGGGUGCCCCACAGCUCCUGUGGCAGGUUUUCACCCACAGUAGGCGAAGACGUUUCAAGACUUUGAUUGAAAGGCUUCUAAGUCUCAGCUCGUUUAACUUGGUAUAUGUGUUUUUAAUUCUCCUGGGAUGUUCAUCUGCCAGUGGUGUCUGUGUGUCUUCUCUCCACUUGCACGUCGGCCAGACGCCCAGACCCUGGGCCGCCCUCCUCCCUGAGCCGCUUCACACACUUAAAUCACGAUGCGGUGCAAGUGCUCGUGGGCAGGUCACAGGCUUGUGGUGUGUGCAGUGUCUGCCAGGUGGGCAGGGUGCUCUGCUGUCUCUGCACCGUGUUGAUGGCACAGGCCCAGCCUGAGGGGCGUCAUGUCCCUCACAGCAGCCAGCCCGGCUGAGCACCCACACUGCCUGGGGUGUUGCUGCCUGAAGUCACCGGGCCAGGGAAUGUGGAGCCAGGGUCUUCCCUGGCCCUGCCUCCAUCCUGAGGCCUCGCUGGGGCAUGGGGCUUUGAGCAGUCCGUAGGCCGGCUGCCGGGGCUGGAGGUGGAGAGUGACCUACUCAGCACAACUCAGUUGCUGGAAAAGUUACCAGUGCCCCUCACUGCUGAACUUAGGAGCCAGUGGGUUUUCACUGUGUGGCUCACACCCAAGAAGCAGGUGGAGACAAGGCUUUGAACCCGUGUCCAGAGCUGGGGAGGCCUGCACCCCCUGCCUUCUCUCAUCGUCCUCUCCACCCCGCACUGUGGAUGGUGGACCUGGAGGGGUCUCCACGCAGAGCCCACAGCCCAGCCCCCUGCACGGCGUCCAAGCACAGCGCAGCCUGCUCCGCCUCCAGGACCUUCUGUCCUAUGUGCUCCCAGACUUGUCCCAGAGAGGCCAGGCUGCCGUCAUGUCACAUGCUGCCCUGCAUGUUAUUUCGAGGGACAGCUGGGAGGCUUGUGUCCCUCUGACCCAGCUGACAGUACUCUCUAUGGUGGAAAGUAGCCCAGCUCGGCGCCCCUCAGGCUGGGACAAGGCUCCAGUGCUGGGACGCGGGGUCUCAGCCAGGGCUACCCAACCACAUUGAGCAGAGGACAGGGUCAUACCUUCUAAGGUGUGGCAAGGAGAAGGCUGUUCUCUUAGCAGAUGGGGUCAAUCCGUGGUGUCUUCUGUCUUCACUCCUAAUUGUCUCCUGAAUUAGCUGAAAAUGUCCGUGACUUGCAAUGUAGUCAGGUAAGCAUGUCUCGAGUGUCUGCAUGUGUGUGCGCGCACGCGCCUACUUGCGUGCUUCCAUAGCCGUGCAGAGAUACUGUUAUCAGAGUCACAGUCAUGCCAUGCAGAAUGUGUUUCUCUCUCCUUUGAAAUCAAUAAAAAAUAUUUCAUGGAAACUGGUCAUUGUUUGUCUGAGUUUGAACCGUUUGGUAGGUCUUGGUACCUGUCUAGGUGCACCGUGACCGAGGACUAUCUCUGCCUGCUUUGCCUAAGCCGACACCGUGAGCUUCCGGCUCUGCGGGCAGCACUGCACAUGCUCCUGGUUGCGGAUGGACAGCACUCUGCUCACUGGGACCACAGGUCUUAGGGACCCAGCGUGGGAGGUCUGCCGGGGAGUGAGUGUGCGGGGGAAGACAGGGCUUCUCUGCCCAGACACUGAGGGCGGUACCUAUUAACACCAACACAAUUUCUGUUCCCGCAGGUGUGAACAUUUUGUCUUGUCGGACUCAGGCCAUAAGAAGGUUUUCACUUUAAAUAAUGAAUAGUGGAGCAUGCCAGGUAGACUUAGGGGUAGGAGCAUCAUGAUGAUGGGGUUAAGGAGUCAGCUCUCAGCUGGUUUACUAAUUAAAGCUAAACCUCACCCUCCAAGCACCACAUCUGAGGUAUCUGGGGGGCACCUCCCACCCCGGGGAGGGAGGAUGCUGCUUCUCAUCACUUUCCCUGGCCACCCUGUUGCUGACACACUCAGACACAGGCCCUUGUUUGGACCUUGGCUCAGGAAAUAAUCACACACCUUUUCAGUGAGUCCAAUUCUGUAUGGCCAGUCUGGGACUGGCCCUCCCACCAUGGGGAUCUGGGGCUACGCGAAGCUGAAAGACUUGUUUCACCCUCUUGGACCAUUGUGAACCAUUUGCUCUCACAGUUUGGAGAGUCAAGUGGGGGUGCCAACACGCUGGUGCUCAGCCUGGUCAACACCCCUUGUCUGGAAUCAGUAGUUCAGUGUCCCCCGCACCUACUUCUCAUCUACUUUCUCAUAAGCCUCACAGCCACCCUCAAAGGGAGAUGGGUACAUCAGCACCCUGGCUGGUCACCCCUGCUGGUGCUGGGGUUCCCCCAUGCCCUCUCUGAAGCCCCUGUCUCUGCACACCCUUCUCAGGAUGCCUCUCCUCCAGGACUCACACUCAGCAGCGGUCAUGGCCACAUUGGCCCCAGUGGACGUCUUCGGAGACAACUGUCCCACCACCACCCCAGUGGCGGCCUUUCCAGACGCCCACGUGUGAGAGUGCAGAGCGGGUGCAGUGGACAUGCUCUCGUCUCCAUGAGGGUCACUGCUAAGGCCCCAAUGUAGUGCAGGGAAUUGUAGGUCUCCCAUAAGCAAGUCCUUUCCAAGGUGCUGGCGACAUUUCAGGUCUUCAUGCUCCAUAAGCUAAUUGUAUGACUCGGAUGAGAUCUGACUGCUUCCAGAUAGGGGCGUGCAUUGUGAGACGACCCAGUUUAAAUGUAAGAUCCUGGAGAAGAUUAGUAGGGAAGUCCAAAACUAACACUCCUCCAACUCCGGAACUUGACGAGGCGUGUGCAGAUGGGGUAGCUGAGACCAGAAAGCAUUUAACCACAGACCUGCUCAGGAGAUGCCAGGGAGCUUAGUAUUUUCAGAGCAAAUGUAGAUGUGAAGCAGUUCCAUCAUAAACCUUAUGUGUGAUGGCUGUGACCACAAAUGCAGAGUCUCAAGUGUCUUGCUGAGUCUGAGGUACACUUUGUUGGUUAGGAAGCAUCUGGAGCUGGUGAGAGCCAUGGUGGGAGCAGUGCUGACUGAGGACAGGAGGCUGACCCUGGAGCUAACGUGGUGACCAUGGUCCACACACGACCACUCUGGCCCGAGCUCGGUUCACACCCCAGGCAGGCCCUAGUGUUGGCCCUUCAGAGGUAUAGCUCUUCAGAGGUGGCACAGCCUGUCCACGGUGAGAACUGUCAUGGGCCCUGCCCUGAAAGGAUGGCCCUGGCCAGGGCUCCUGCCCGCCCUACCUGCCAUCGCCAAGCACAUCAGUCUGCUGCUCACAGGGCUGCCGAGGCUCCAGCUUGUGCUCAGCAUGGGGACCUGUUCUGCCAGCUCUGGGGCUGUGUUGGUGACAGCCCAGAAGGGCCUUGAGAGCCAGCUGAGCAACUGACUACCCCAGUCUGAGUUUUCGUGAGCUAUAAAUACUCAGUAGAAGGCUGUUAGGGUGAGAGGCAUACUAAGUUAGAGUAGUGCAUUUUGAUUAGAAAGUGAACUUGAUUGGUUACCUUUUGACAUCUGAGCAGAGCUAUCUGGAUACGAUGCUUGGCGCAGUGGGCCUGGCCCUCCUGUGCCCAUGUCCCCAUGACCCCCUGUGUCCAGCUUCUCCCCCCAUUCACAGCUGUGUCAGGUCAGACGGAGGACAUUCUGGAAGCCACUCCUCUCACUAGUGGGGUUCUUCAUGGGUCCUUGGCCAUUGAACGUCAACCUGUGAACAGGAGGCCCAGAAGCCAUGUGGGGAGGGGCUGGAGGUGCUUCGUGUGGAGGUUACCCGUGUGGAUGCUGGCCUGGCCCUCUCUGCUCUGCUGGCAUUUAGGAAAGGCGACAGAAAUACUUGGAACCACAUAAUGGUGUCCAGAGGCAACUGAUUUGUGAGCAACUUAAAAUCACAGAACAGGAAAAGCAGUCCUGAUUUUCUUCUUAGUCUCGAGUCACCGCGUCCAAACAUAAUCCUCGGGUUAGUGAUCUGUCAGAAAACAAAGCGGCCCUUAGGCGCUGGGGAGCUAGACAAGACGGAGGAGAAGCGGG